AGUGAACGCUGGCGGUAGGCCUAACACAUGCAAGUCGAACGGCAGCACAGUAAGAGCUUGCUCUUACGGGUGGCGAGUGGCGGACGGGUGAGGAAUACAUCGGAAUCUACUUUUUCGUGGGGGAUAACGUAGGGAAACUUACGCUAAUACCGCAUAUGACCUACGGGUGAAAGCAGGGGAUCUUCGGACCUUGCGCGAUUGAAUGAGCCGAUGUCGGAUUAGCUAGUUGGCGGGGUAAAGGCCCCCCAAGGCGACGACCCGUAGCUGGUCUGAGAGGAUGAUCAGCCACACUGGAACUGAGACACGGUCCAGACUCCUACGGGAGGCAGCAGUGGGGAAUAUUGGACAAUGGGGGCAACCCUGAUCCAGCCAUACCGCGUGGGUGAAGAAGGCCUUCGGGUUGUAAAGCCCUUUUGUUGGGAAAGAAAAGCAGCAGGUUAAUACCCCGCUGUUCUGACGGUACCCAAAGAAUAAGCACCGCCUAACUUCGU
This 491-nucleotide ribosomal RNA is filed under the name uncultured bacterium. RNAcentral's name for it is "partial 16S ribosomal RNA". It matches the Rfam family "Bacterial small subunit ribosomal RNA", at positions 29 to 506 of the family's 1533-position model. The record is from RNAcentral.